This 425-nucleotide ribosomal RNA is filed under the name uncultured bacterium. RNAcentral describes it as "bacterial SSU rRNA". It matches the Rfam family "Bacterial small subunit ribosomal RNA", at positions 354 to 796 of the family's 1533-position model. The record is from RNAcentral.
GUGGGGAAUAUUGGACAAUGGGCGCAAGCCUGAUCCAGCCAUGCCGCGUGAGUGAUGAAGGCCUUAGGGUUGUAAAGCUCUUUCGUCAGGGAAGAUAAUGACGGUACCUGAAGAAGAAGCCCCGGCUAACUUCGUGCCAGCAGCCGCGGUAAUACGAAGGGGGCUAGCGUUGCUCGGAAUCACUGGGCGUAAAGCGCACGUAGGCGGCUUUCUAAGUCAGGGGUGAAAUCCUGGAGCUCAACUCCAGAACUGCCUUUGAUACUGGAGAGCUUGAGUUCGGGAGAGGUGAGUGGAACUGCGAGUGUAGAGGUGAAAUUCGUAGAUAUUCGCAAGAACACCAGUGGCGAAGGCGGCUCACUGGCCCGAUACUGACGCUGAGGUGCGAAAGCGUGGGGAGCAAACAGGAUUAGAUACCCGAGUAGUCC